UUCGCCAGGGAACAACGAGCCCCAGCUUAAAACCCAAAGGACUUGGCGGUGCUUUAGACCCCCCUAGAGGAGCCUGUUCUAGAACCGAUACUCCCCGUUCAACCUCACCUUCUCUUGUUUUUCCCGCCUAUAUACCGCCGUCGUCAGCUUACCCUGUGAAGGAUCAACAGUAAGCAAAAUUGGUACAACCCAAAACGUCAGGUCGAGGUGUAGCGAAUGGGAAGGGAAGAAAUGGGCUACAUUUACUGAAUCAGUAUAUUACGGACACUGUGCUGAAAAAACAUUCGAAGGAGGAUUUAGCAGUAAGGGGAGAACAGAGUGCCCCCCUGAAAACGGCCCUGAAGCGCGUACACACCGCCCGUCACUCUCCCCGAUCUACCAAAACCAAUAAAUAAACACCUAACAGAACCGAGGGGAGGCAAGUCGUAACAUGGUAAGUGUACCGGAAGGUGCACUUGGAAAAACC
RNAcentral lists this ribosomal RNA (466 nucleotides) under Signigobius biocellatus (twinspot goby). Its description in RNAcentral is "partial 12S ribosomal RNA". It matches the Rfam family "Bacterial small subunit ribosomal RNA", at positions 868 to 1528 of the family's 1533-position model. Lineage: Eukaryota; Metazoa; Chordata; Actinopteri; Gobiiformes; Gobiidae. The record is from RNAcentral.